This is an RNA transcript of Apis laboriosa (Himalayan honeybee), 1450 nucleotides long. It is a transcript of the gene named INO80 complex subunit C, with no coding region annotated. The record is from RefSeq and is a predicted model, not a curated record. The transcript has 4 exons. NCBI's taxonomy places the organism in Eukaryota, Metazoa, Arthropoda, Insecta, Hymenoptera, Apidae.
UGAUUUGUCAAUGUUUAUAUAACACAAAAAUCAGAAUUUUAUAUUUUAUUAUACAUAUUAUUUUAAAAUAUUUAUCUAUUAAUUUUAGUUAAUAUCAUAAAUAUAAUUUUUAAAUUCAAAGAUUUGUGACAUGUUUAAAAUGUCAAAGUUCAAUAUGGAUAAAUUUAUACAUACAUUUAUCCAAAACUUAGGUUUAAGAAUCGAAUCUUGUACUUGCAAGAAAUUUAACAAAAUUGCAUUUAUGACAAAUAUAGAUAAAUCUUAUACAUUGAAACAAUUAUAUCCUGCAGAAGAAAUAAAAGAAGUUAAUGUGCAACAAGAUUUGGAUUUUUCCACAGAAAAAAAUAUAAAAUAUUUUAUGGAAAAACAUGCUAAUCUAUUUGAUAAACUUACCUAUUUAAAUAACACACAAAUUUUAAAUUCUCAUUUAAAAAAUAUUAAUUCAAAGAUUCUUCAGAAAAUAAAAACAAAAAGAAAAUAUAAUGGAAUUAUAAAAAAGGGGGAACUCAAAACACAUAACAAAACUAUAAUUUGUAAUAAAAAACUAAAAACAAAUUUAGCAAAUAAAUUAAAUGGAUCAAAAUACAAUUUAUCAUCAUCUAUAACAUGGAAACAAAAAUAUAUAAAUUCCCAUUGCAAAAAAAAUAAAUUUAAAAAAUCUGCAAUAUUUGAAAAUUCUAAACUAAUUUGUUAUAAUACAAAUAUACAUGAUUAUAAAAAUGAAGACACUUCAAUGAAUAACGAUGAACAAAAAAUUUUUUCUAAACACAAUUUAACAAAUGUUAUGAUAAAUUUUACGAAAAAAGAAAUAGAAAUGACUGAAAAAUUGUUGUUAUUGUAUAUAAAAGAUGUAGAAUAUAUAAAAAGAAAUAUUCAAGUUACUCUAUACAUAACAAAGAAUUCAAAAUUUAAUUAUGAUACAAAGGAUCGAAUAGAAUAUAAUCAAUUACUUUGUCAUCACGCAAUUCUAUGUUUAAUUGAACCAAGUAAAAAAGGUGCUGUUUUAAUUGAAGAUAAUUUACCAGUUAUUAUUAAAAAAUACCUUAUGCAUGGAUACAAAUACCAUUUUGAUUUUCAGAGGAGUUCAAAGAGUUAUUAUACAGCUGUACUUAUUUUGAGUCAAUCAGCUAAAGUUCUGGUUAAACAUAUAAACACAACUAUGAUGCAUACAAUUUGUGGUAUAUUAGGAUGUGAUGUGCAAGAAAUAUUAGUGUUAUAUAAUCCAAGAGAAAAAUAAUUCUAAAUAUUAUUUUUAAAUAUUAAUUUUAUAAAAAAAAAUCUAUGAAUAUAUAUUUAAUAUAAUAUACCAAAUAAAUGAGAUUUGUAUUUUACAUAAGAGGAAAAAUGGUAAAUGAAGAAAUAGUGGAAUUUAAUAAGAAAUCACAACCAAUUUUUAAAAAUCCAAUUUUUCAACAAAAAUUUCGAUCUACUAGUACCACUGGAAAGAAAC